AGUGAACGCUGGCGGUAGGCCUAACACAUGCAAGUCGAACGGCAGCACAGUAAGAGCUUGCUCUUACGGGUGGCGAGUGGCGGACGGGUGAGGAAUACAUCGGAAUCUACUUUUUCGUGGGGGAUAACGUAGGGAAACUUACGCUAAUACCGCAUACGACCUACGGGUGAAAGCAGGGGAUCUUCGGACCUUGCGCGAUUGAAUGAGCCGAUGUCGGAUUAGCUAGUUGGCGGGGUAAAGGCCCACCAAGGCGACGAUCCGUAGCUGGUCUGAGAGGAUGAUCAGCCACACUGGAACUGAGACACGGUCCAGACUCCUACGGGAGGAAGCAGUGGGGAAUAUUGGACAAUGGGCGCAAGCCUGAUCCAGCAAUACCGCGUGGGUGAAGAAGGCCUUCGGGUUGUAAAGCCCUUUUGUUGGGAAAGAAAAGCAGCAGGUUAAUACCCCGCUGUUCUGACGGUACCCAAAGAAUAAGCACCGGCUAACUUCGUG
Molecule: ribosomal RNA, 492 nt
Filed under: uncultured bacterium
Lineage: Bacteria
Description: partial 16S ribosomal RNA
Rfam family: Bacterial small subunit ribosomal RNA
Source: RNAcentral